GUUCGCCAGAAAAUUACGAGCAAAAGCUUAAAACCCAAAGGACUUGACGGUAUUCCACAUCAACCUAGAGGAGCCUGUCCAACAAUCGAUGAUCCGCGUUUAACCUCACCCCCCCUUGCAAAUUCAGCCUAUAUACCGCCGUCGCCAGCCUGCCUGAUGACAGAAACACAGCUGGUAAACCGAACUCCCCCUACCAACGUCAGGUCAAGGUGUAGCUUAUGGGGGGGCAUGAGAUGGGCUACAUUUCUCAACCUGAGAAACCACUAAAAGAAACAUGAAACACAAUCUCCCUCAAGGUGGAUUUAGCAGUAAGUCGAGCAAGAUAUGCUGAUCUGAA
Molecule: ribosomal RNA, 337 nt
Filed under: Chondrodactylus turneri
Lineage: Eukaryota; Metazoa; Chordata; Lepidosauria; Squamata; Gekkonidae
Description: partial 12S ribosomal RNA
Rfam family: Bacterial small subunit ribosomal RNA
Source: RNAcentral